Ochotona princeps (American pika) is the source of this 174-nucleotide long non-coding RNA. RefSeq lists it as uncharacterized. The transcript has 3 exons. The record is from RefSeq and is a predicted model, not a curated record. Lineage: Eukaryota; Metazoa; Chordata; Mammalia; Lagomorpha; Ochotonidae.
GAAGAAUAUCAGCAACUGUUCCCGCUCUGGAAUUGUAACCGUUAACACUUUAGACACGGUUAGGGAUGUUAUUCGUAUGGCAUUACCAGUACUGGGAUUAACUGGCUCAGAAAAAGAUUACCAACUGUGGGUGCAUGCUGGAAAGAACGUGCCUCCCUUCCCACUCCUGGGUAA